RNAcentral lists this ribosomal RNA (601 nucleotides) under Hepatozoon sp. JPM-2014. RNAcentral describes it as "bacterial SSU rRNA". It matches the Rfam family "Eukaryotic small subunit ribosomal RNA", at positions 312 to 906 of the family's 1831-position model. The record is from RNAcentral. Lineage: Eukaryota; Apicomplexa; Hepatozoidae.
CUAUCAGCUUUCGACGGUAUGGUAUUGGCUUACCGUGGCAGUGACGGUUAACGGGGGAUUAGGGUUCGAUUCCGGAGAGGGAGCCUGAGAAACGGCUACCACAUCUAAGGAAGGCAGCAGGCGCGCAAAUUACCCAAUUCUAACAGUUUGAGAGAGGUAGUAACAAGAAAUAACAAUACAAGGCAGUUAAAAUGCUUUGUAAUUGGAAUGAUAGAAAUUUAAACCCUUUUUAAAGUAUCAAUUGGAGGGCAAGUCUGGUGCCAGCAGCCGCGGUAAUUCCAGCUCCAAUAGCGUAUAUUAAAAUUGUUGCAGUUAAAAAGCUCGUAGUUGAAGUUCUGCUAAAAGUAACCGGUCUGCUUUUAAUAAAGGUGGUAUCUUGGUGUGUAUUUAGCAAUGAUGUCCUUUGAAGUGUUUUUUACUUUAUUGUAAUAAAGCAUAUUCAGGACUUUUACUUUGAGAAAAUUAGAGUGUUUCUAGCAGGCUAACGCUUUGAAUACUGCAGCAUGGAAUAAUAAGAUAGGAUUUUAGUUCUACAUUAUUGGUUUUAAGAGCUAAAUUAAUGAUUGAUAGGGACAGUUGGGGGCAUUUGUAUUUAACUGUC